Vombatus ursinus (common wombat) is the source of this 517-nucleotide long non-coding RNA. RefSeq lists it as uncharacterized. The transcript has 3 exons. Lineage: Eukaryota; Metazoa; Chordata; Mammalia; Diprotodontia; Vombatidae. The record is from RefSeq and is a predicted model, not a curated record.
AACAUUCCUGAAGGAUGAGGAGGUAUUGUCUCAUUCUACCAACACCUGACGUCACUUUCUUUAACUGCUCUUGUCGUUUGGUUGCAGAGGUUUUCAGUGGUCUGCAGUCUUUAGUGUUCCAAAAGGUGCUUAAAUUUUAUGCUCCUUGAAGACAAAUCACAUGCACAAACAUAUUUCUUCUUAUCCCAGUUCCAAGAAUUUGUCAUUUAACCACAAUAUCUUAGAACUGGAAGGAACCUCGGCGGGGUCAACCCUAUUUGAACAGGAAUCUUUGCUCUAACAAAUCCUGACAGAUAUUUACAAGCAACAAUUUACUUUAUGCAUUAUGGUGACUGCUGACUUUUUGGGAUUUCCAUAAGAUGAUAUCUGUCCCCAACUCUUCCCUGUUGCAUAUUCCUCAAGAGAAUUAUUCUUCUCCACUUUUGCCCAGGAAGCUCCUUGUGAUUGUAGCUUGAUUUAUUCAUUGAAAAAUUGUAUCCAGAUAUUGUUCUUAUAAGAGGGGCAACCAAAGCACUUC